This 217-nucleotide ribosomal RNA is filed under the name uncultured Actinomycetales bacterium. Its description in RNAcentral is "partial 16S ribosomal RNA". It matches the Rfam family "Bacterial small subunit ribosomal RNA", at positions 117 to 334 of the family's 1533-position model. The record is from RNAcentral. Lineage: Bacteria; Bacillati; Actinomycetota; Actinomycetes; Actinomycetales.
GUGGGUAAGUCUGCCCUCGCACUCUGGGAUAAGCCUGGGAAACUGGGUCUAAUACUGGAUAUGACCUUUCUCCUUAUGGGGUUUGGUGGAAAGUUUUUCGGUGUAGGAUGAGCCCGCGGCCUAUCAGCUUGUUGGUGGGGUGAUGGCCUACCAAGGCGACGACGGGUAGCCGGCCUGAGAGGGUGAUCGGCCACAUUGGGACUGAGAUACGGCCCAG